This is a long non-coding RNA of Pantherophis guttatus, 935 nucleotides long. RefSeq lists it as uncharacterized. NCBI's taxonomy places the organism in Eukaryota, Metazoa, Chordata, Lepidosauria, Squamata, Colubridae. The record is from RefSeq and is a predicted model, not a curated record.
ACGCACUCUCCGGUCUGCGGAAGAAUCUCUCUCCAUGGAACUGAUCCCUGGUGUCCAAAAGGUUAGGGGCUGCUGUUAUAAGGAUGCCCUGAGGAAACUGAAAAUCAUCACUUUGUGAGCACUUUUGCCCUUCCCACCACAAGAAGCCAACAAAUAUGUAUUUUGCACAUAAAAUUGUUAAGUGCUGGCUGGAACUGAGGGGGAGAACAGAAGGUCAAGACCCUUCCUGAUUCCAAUUCAGAAAAUGGAUUGGGGAUUUUCUGCAGAUUUCCCACCAUCUCUCUUCCGUCGCAUUUGAGAGGACCAUCAGGAUUCUGCCUGCUCUUGACAGAUUAUGGGGGGAAAAAAUCUGCCAAAUGAAAACUGAAUCCUCCCACAUGCCACAACAGUCAUUAGUAACUGUGAUUUAUGAACAGAAGGAUCAACACCCUUCUUAGAGCCCCACCACAAUUGUGGUAUGCAGAAACCUGACAAAGUAAUUCAUAUUCCAAGGGAAAGAAGAAAAAUGCAACUAUGAAAGGAGUCAUUCAUAGUAAAAAAAAAGAAAAAAGAAAAAAGCAAUGAUGGCAAAUUGCCUUGCUUACUUGAACUUAUAUACGGAGUUACAAUUAUCCUUCCUAUGAUGAUGGUGACUACUCUGGAAUUAUAGAAUUAGGUAUAACCAAUGAAAUAACUCUGAUGUUAACUCAACCUUGAUGACUGUGUGAAAUGCUGCUACUGGAACUUCUUUAUUGUUGACACACCUGUGAUAAUUGCAAAUGCGACAUUUAAAACAAAAUAGUCCUUACUACUAAAAGGAGGAUGGUUCUAAUGAUUACAUAGAGCAAUUAAUGGGCUGAAUCUAGACUUAGUCAUGCUUGCAGCGAACCUACUGAACAUUUGUAAAUCUCAGUUUAUUGUGACUAAUUAUAUGCUAAUAAAUGUAGUCUUUUUGA